Erinaceus europaeus (western European hedgehog) is the source of this 302-nucleotide unclassified non-coding RNA. Its record names the gene 7SK. It matches the Rfam family "7SK RNA". From Rfam's summary of the family: 7SK was discovered as an abundant small nuclear RNA in the mid-70s but a possible function has only recently been suggested. Two independent studies have found that 7SK RNA binds the CDK9/cyclin T complex (known as elongation factor P-TEFb). NCBI's taxonomy places the organism in Eukaryota, Metazoa, Chordata, Mammalia, Eulipotyphla, Erinaceidae. The record is from Ensembl.
AGAUGUGAGGGUGAUCUGGCUGCGACAUCUGUCACCCCAUUGAUCGCCAGGGUCGAUUCGGCUGAUCUGGCUGGCUAGGCGGGUGACCCCCUCCUCCCUCACCGCUCCAUGUGCGUCCCUCCCGAAGCGGUGCGCUCAGUCGAAGAAGACAGCCUUCCCCGAAUAGAGACGGACCGGUCUUUGGUCGACGGUAUACGAGUAGCUGCGCUCCCCUACUAGAACCUCCAAACAAGCUCUCAAACGGCAUGUUCCACACCCAAUCCUUCAAGAACACUGUCCACGGUGGUUGGCAAAUCCGAUGU